GACGAACGCUGGCGGCGUGCUUAACACAUGCAAGUCGAACGGAGAGGCCCUGCUUUUGUGGGGUGCUCGAGUGGCGAACGGGUGAGUAACACGUGAGUAACCUGCCCUUGACUUUGGGAUAACUUCGGGAAACUGGGGCUAAUACCGGAUAGGAGCUCCUGCUGCAUGGUGGGGGUUGGAAAGUUUCGGCGGUUGGGGAUGGACUCGCGGCUUAUCAGCUUGUUGGUGGGGUAGUGGCUUACCAAGGCUUUGACGGGUAGCCGGCCUGAGAGGGUGACCGGCCACAUUGGGACUGAGAUACGGCCCAGACUCCUACGGGAGGCAGCAGUGGGGAAUAUUGCACAAUGGGCGGAAGCCUGAUGCAGCAACGCCGCGUGCGGGAUGACGGCCUUCGGGUUGUAAACCGCUUUCGCCUGUGACGAAGCGUGAGUGACGGUAAUGGGUAAAGAAGCACCGGCUAACUACGUGCCAGCAGCCGCGGUGAUACGUAGGGUGCGAGCGUUGUCCGGAUUUAUUGGGCGUAAAGGGCUCGUAGGUGGUUGAUCGCGUCGGAAGUGUAAUCUUGGGGCUUAACCCUGAGCGUGCUUUCGAUACGGGUUGACUUGAGGAAGGUAGGGGAGAAUGGAAUUCCUGGUGGAGCGGUGGAAUGCGCAGAUAUCAGGAGGAACACCAGUGGCGAAGGCGGUUCUCUGGGCCUUUCCUGACGCUGAAGAGCGAAAGCGUGGGGAGCGAACAGGCUUAGAUACCCUGGUAGUCCGCGCUGUAAACGGUGGGUACUAGGUGUGGGGUCCAUUCCACGGGUUCCGUGCCGUAGCUAACGCUUUAAGUACCCCGCCUGGGGAGUACGGCCGCAAGGCUAAAACUCAAAGGAAUUGACGGGGCCCCGCACAAGCGGCGGAGCAUGCGGAUUAAUUCGAUGCAACGCGUAGAACCUUACCUGGGUCUGACAUGGAUCGGGAGUGCUCAGAGAUGGGUGUGCCUCUUUUGGGGUCGGUUCACAGGUGGUGCAUGGCUGUCGUCAGCUCGUGUCGUGAGAUGUUGGGUUAAGUCCCGCAACGAGCGCAACCCUUGUUCACUGUUGCCAGCACGUUAUGGUGGGGACUCAGUGGAGACCGCCGGGGUCAACUCGGAGGAAGGUGGGGAUGACGUCAAGUCAUCAUGCCCCUUAUGUCCAGGGCUUCACGCAUGCUACAAUGGCUGGUACAGAGAGUGGCGAGCCUGUGAGGGUGAGCGAAUCUCGGAAAGUCGGUCUCAGUUCGGAUUGGGGUCUGCAACUCGACCUCAUGAAGUCGGAGUCGCUAGUAAUCGCAGAUCAGCAACGCUGCGGAGAAUACGUUCCCGGG
Molecule: ribosomal RNA, 1343 nt
Filed under: uncultured bacterium
Lineage: Bacteria
Description: 16S ribosomal RNA
Rfam family: Bacterial small subunit ribosomal RNA
Source: RNAcentral